UUGUACCACCACGGGCAUUUUUAUUACUAUUGUUAUCUUUAAACUGCCCGAUUAGGUAGCUUAGGCUGUUUGUUGCACCCGUUUUUGGAGGUUUCGGUCUCCAGAUGCUGAUGCGAUGUAGGGCUCUUUCACCCGGUAUUUGUGCCCCGGCAGUUUCAGGCUGAAACAGCCGAGGUCUUUCCUGCAGCUUCUUAAAUCCCUCCUGGCCCCAGUUCCUCCAGGAGCACGAGUUCUUUCUUUGGAUUGUCUGUGCUUUGCAGUAAUGGCAAUACAUUCAUUCUGCCAUUUGGAGGAGCCUGUGCCACAGAAUAAUGGUCUGAAGAAGGUUAGCUUAUUUGCAGAGCCUUCAUUUGGGAAAUGGUACUGAUGCAGCAACGAGGUGCUUUGUCAAGUCCAGCAAAAAUAUUAUUGUACCUAACACAAUCUUCAGUACGUGGACAAAGUUCUUCCCAAAAGAAUGAAUAAAAUCGCAUAUCAAAAGAAUGAAUAAAAAUCGCAUAUCAAAAGAAUAAGAAGCUUCUCUCCUGUCUCAGAGACAUAUUCUGCCUUCCUGGGGCUUAUGGUCUGAGAACGUCCAAGCAGAGGGCUCAUUGCCCAGAAGAUUGAAUGUUAGGCCCUAAGAAAAUAUUUUGCURGAUGGGAGUUGUUUGUCUGAAAAGUGCUCCAAGGACUGAGUAUGAAACAGGAAGAGUGAGUGGCACACAGAGUGGCACUCUGGUAAG
Molecule: long non-coding RNA, 722 nt
Organism: Nothoprocta perdicaria
Lineage: Eukaryota; Metazoa; Chordata; Aves; Tinamiformes; Tinamidae
Exons: 5
Source: RefSeq, a predicted model, not a curated record